RNAcentral lists this ribosomal RNA (432 nucleotides) under uncultured bacterium. RNAcentral describes it as "partial 16S ribosomal RNA". It matches the Rfam family "Bacterial small subunit ribosomal RNA", at positions 29 to 506 of the family's 1533-position model. The record is from RNAcentral.
AGCGAACGCUGGCGGCAGGCCUAACACAUGCAAGUCGAACGAACUCUUCGGAGUUAGUGGCGGUCGGGUGAGUAACACGUGGGAACGUGCCCUUUGGUUCGGUAUAACUCAGGGAAACUUGUGCUAAUACCGAAUGUGCCCUUCGGGGGAAGGAUCUAGCGCCUGUAGAGCGGCCUGCGUCUGUUUUGCUAGUUGGGGAGGUAACGGCUCACCAAGGCGGCGAUCAGUAGUUGGUCGGUGAGGAUGACCAGCGACACUGGGACUGAGACACGGCCCAGACGCCUGCGGGAGGUAGCAGUGGGGAAACUUGCGCAAGAGGCGUAAGCCUGACGCGGCCAGGCCGCGUGAAUGAUGAAGGUGUUAGGAUUGUAAAAUUCUUUCACCGGGGACGAUAAUGACGGAACCCGGAGAAGAAGCCCCGGCUAACUUCUG